RNAcentral lists this ribosomal RNA (482 nucleotides) under uncultured bacterium. RNAcentral's name for it is "partial 16S ribosomal RNA". It matches the Rfam family "Bacterial small subunit ribosomal RNA", at positions 30 to 507 of the family's 1533-position model. The record is from RNAcentral.
AUUGAACGCUGGCGGCAUGCUUUACACAUGCAAGUCGAACGGUAACAGGCCGCAAGGUGCUGACGAGUGGCGAACGGGUGAGUAAUGCAUCGGAACGUGCCCAGUCGUGGGGGAUAACUACUCGCAAGAGUAGCUAAUACCGCAUACGAUCUAUGGAUGAAAGCGGGGGACCGUAAGGCCUCGCGCGAUUGGAGCGGCCGAUGUCAGAUUAGGUAGUUGGUGGGGUAAAGGCUCACCAAGCCAACGAUCUGUAGCUGGUCUGAGAGGACAACCAGCCACACUGGGACUGAGACACGGCCCAGACUCCUACGGGAGGCAGCAGUGGGGAAUUUUGGACAAUGGGCGCAAGCCUGAUCCAGCAAUGCCGCGUGCAGGAAGAAGGCCAUCGGGUUGUAAACUGCUUUUGUACGGAACGAAACGGCUCUGGUUAAUACCCGGGGCUAAUGACGGUACCGUAAGAAUAAGCACCGGCUAACUACGUG